RNAcentral lists this ribosomal RNA (459 nucleotides) under uncultured bacterium. RNAcentral's name for it is "partial 16S ribosomal RNA". It matches the Rfam family "Bacterial small subunit ribosomal RNA", at positions 338 to 795 of the family's 1533-position model. The record is from RNAcentral.
CCUACGGGUGGCUGCAGUGAGGAAUAUUGGUCAAUGGCCGAGAGGCUGAACCAGCCAAGUAGCGUGAGGGAAGACGGCCCUACGGGUUGUAAACCUCUUUUGUCGGGGAGCAAAGCGAACCAAGUGUGGGUCAUCGAGAGUACCCGAAGAAAAAGCAUCGGCUAACUCAGUUCCAGCAGCCGCGGUAAUACGUGGGAUGCGAGCGUUAUCUGGAUUUGUUGGGUUUAAAGGGUGCGUAGGCGGGGGUGCAAGUCAGCGGUCAAAUUGCGGGGCUCAACCCCGUACUGCCGUUGAAACGGCAUCCCUUGAGUGCGCGAGAAGUAUGCGGAAUGCGUGGUGUAGCGGUGAAAUGCAUAGAUAUAACGCAGAACUCCGAUUGCGAAGGCAGCAUACCGGCGCGCAACUGACGCUCAGGGACGAAAGCGUGGGUAUCGAACAGGAUUAGAUACCCGUGUAGUC